AGGCCCAUAGUUCAAUUGGUAGAGCACCGGUCUCCAAAACCGGGUGUUGCAGGUUCGAGCCCUGCUGGGCCUG
This 73-nucleotide transfer RNA is filed under the name Candidatus Wallbacteria bacterium HGW-Wallbacteria-1. RNAcentral describes it as "tRNA-Trp". It matches the Rfam family "tRNA". Rfam says of the family: Transfer RNA (tRNA) molecules are approximately 80 nucleotides in length. Their secondary structure includes four short double-helical elements and three loops (D, anti-codon, and T loops). The record is from RNAcentral. Lineage: Bacteria; Candidatus Walliibacteriota.